RNAcentral lists this ribosomal RNA (274 nucleotides) under uncultured bacterium. RNAcentral's name for it is "partial 16S ribosomal RNA". It matches the Rfam family "Bacterial small subunit ribosomal RNA", at positions 523 to 796 of the family's 1533-position model. The record is from RNAcentral.
AUACGGAGGGUGCGAGCGUUGUUCGGAAUCAUUGGGCGUAAAGAGCGUGUAGGCGGCGGGGUGUGUCUGAUGUGAAAGCCCGGAGCUCAACUCCGGAAGUGCAUUGGAAACUGCCUCGCUUGAGUCCCGGAGAGGGUAGUGGAAUUCCUGGUGUAGAGGUGAAAUUCGUAGAUAUCAGGAGGAACACCGGUGGCGAAGGCGACUACCUGGACGGAGACUGACGCUGAGACGCGAAAGCGUGGGGAGCAAACAGGAUUAGAUACCCUAGUAGUCC